UUCGNNUGGGCGAAGCCUGACGCAGCGACGCCGCGUGGGGGAUGAAGCUUCUCGGAGUGUAAACCCCUUUCGACCCGGACGAACCCCCGCAAGGGAUUGACGGUACGGGUAUAAGAAGCCCCGGCUAACUACGUGCCAGCAGCCGCGGUAAAACGUAGGGGGCCAGCGUUGCUCGGAAUUACUGGGCGUAAAGGGUCCGUAGGCGGUGUGGCAAGUCGGUAGUGAAAUCUCUCGGCUUAACUGAGAGGCUGCUGCCGAAACUGCCAUGCUCGAGUGCGAGAGAGGCGAGUGGAAUUGCGGGUGUAGCGGUGAAAUGCGUAGAUAUCCGCAGGAACAUCCGAGGGCGAAAGCGGCUCGCUGGAUCACAACUGACGCUGAGGGACGAAAGCUAGGGGAGCAAACAGGAUUAGAUACCCUGGUAGUCCUAGCCCUAAACCAUCAGGACUUGGGGUUUGCCCUGUACGGGGCAAGUCCCGGAGCUAACGCGUUAAGUCCUGCGCCUGGGGAGUACGGUCGCAAGGCUGAAACUCAAAAAAAUUGACGGA
RNAcentral lists this ribosomal RNA (545 nucleotides) under uncultured bacterium. Its description in RNAcentral is "bacterial SSU rRNA". It matches the Rfam family "Bacterial small subunit ribosomal RNA", at positions 365 to 917 of the family's 1533-position model. The record is from RNAcentral.